This 400-nucleotide long non-coding RNA is filed under the name Homo sapiens (human). Its description in RNAcentral is "non-protein coding LINC02101:8". The record is from RNAcentral. Lineage: Eukaryota; Metazoa; Chordata; Mammalia; Primates; Hominidae.
CACAACUGAAUCUUUCAGAGGAGGAAAGAGCAGACACUAGGCACAGAACAAAGAGCAAAUGAAACAGGAACUGUGGAAUAACACUGUGUUCCCAAAGAAAACAUAACUGCCAUAGAUCACAGAAUGAAAGCCCCAGAGCACGCAGCAGAGAAGUCCAGCAACAGGAGUCAACAUUUACAGAAAACCCUGUAGGAAGACUGUGGCACUACCAACUGAUCAACAUGUUACAGAACUCAUUUUAUACUGCAGCCAGGCUGAGGAGGGCCCAUCACCUGCACAUAAAUAUUUGGACAGUGGCGACAACUUGAAGACAGCUAGCUGCAGAGUGAUAUUCCAGAAUAAGAGUUUUGAAGCUCCAGAUGCUAGGGUAUUGAAAGUAUCUUCUGGAUUGCCAAUUUGC